UUUGGUGUAGUAAACACUGUCACAUUAAGAAGGCUAAUAUGUCAAGUAUAUACAUUAAGUAGCUAUGUAACAUGUAUAUGUAUAUAUCAUUUUAAUUCAAAGACAUGCAUUUGGAGUGUUUCAACCCAUCCUAGAAUGUUCAAAGAAAAUUUAGCUAUUUUUUCAUGUAUCCAUCAAAUAGGCUUCGUGUUUCUUAUAAAAGUAACUCUAUUAUAUUUUCACAAAUUGUUUUGUUUUUCAUAACUUUAACACAUCUUUGUCUAUAUAAACUAUCAUUUUCUUUAAUUCUUUUUUUUCUAGGUUAGUUUUCAAAAAUAACAUAUUAUGAUUUCAAUACAUUAUAUUUUAGAUAUUUAGAUUUAAAAAAAUCUCAAAUAUCAUUAAAUUACAAUUUAAGUCAAUAAAAUUAAUCAUAAAAAAAUUGCGAAUUCUCUUGUUUUAGUGUUUAAAACAUAUUUUAAACUUUAAAAAUAAAAAAUAAAAUAAGUAAAUCAAUCUACCAAUGUUGAUUUGGUGUAGUAAAUAUUGUCACAUUAAGAAGGCAAAUAUGUUAAACAUAUACAUUAAGUAGCUAAGUAACAUGUAUAUGUAUAUAUCAUUUUAAUUCAAAGACAUGCAUUUGGAGUGUUUCAACCCAUCCUAUAAUGUUCAAUACAAAUUUAGCUAUUUUUUC
Molecule: long non-coding RNA, 673 nt
Filed under: Lathyrus oleraceus (garden pea)
Lineage: Eukaryota; Viridiplantae; Streptophyta; Magnoliopsida; Fabales; Fabaceae
Description: Pisum sativum (pea) long non-coding RNA (PSAT_LNC036397)
Source: RNAcentral